Molecule: ribosomal RNA, 99 nt
Filed under: uncultured Gemmatimonadota bacterium
Lineage: Bacteria; Pseudomonadati; Gemmatimonadota
Description: uncultured Gemmatimonadetes bacterium partial 16S ribosomal RNA
Source: RNAcentral
UCUGCCGAUGUCUGGGGGAUAGCCGGUCCAACGGCCGGGUAAUACCGCAUACGCUUGCUUUGAGGAGUCUCGAGGCAAGGAAACCUCCGGGGGACAUCG